This 655-nucleotide ribosomal RNA is filed under the name uncultured bacterium. RNAcentral describes it as "bacterial SSU rRNA". It matches the Rfam family "Bacterial small subunit ribosomal RNA", at positions 185 to 858 of the family's 1533-position model. The record is from RNAcentral.
CUCGCAUGAGGGAGUGUGAAAAACUACGGUGGUAAGGGAUGGCCCUGCGUCCGAUUAGCUAGUUGGUAUGGUAAAGGCAUACCAAGGCAACGAUCGGUAGCCGGCCUGAGAGGGUGGACGGCCACAUUGGGACUGAGACACGGCCCAAACUCCUACGGGAGGCAGCAGUGGGGGAUAUUGCACAAUGGGGGGAACCCUGAUGCAGCGACACCGCGUGGGUGAGGAAGCGCUUCGGCGUGUAAAGCCCUAUCAGUGGGGAAGAAAAGAGACGGUACCCAAAGAAGAAGCACCGGCUAAAUACGUGCCAGCAGCCGCGGUAAUACGUAUGGUGCAAGCGUUAUCCGGAAUGACUGGGUGUAAAGGGAGCGUAGACGGUUGUUCAAGUCUGAUGUGAAAGCCCUCGGCUUAACUGGGGGAGUGCAUUGGAAACUGAAGGACUAGAGUAUCGGAGAGGCAAGUGGAAUUCCUAGUGUAGCGGUGAAAUGCGUAGAUAUUAGGAGGAACACCAGUGGCGAAGGCGGCUUGCUGGACGAAAACUGACGUUGAGGCUCGAAAGCGUGGGGAGCAAACAGGAUUAGAUACCCUGGUAGCCCACGCCGUAAACGAUGAAUACUAGGUGUUGGGGCCCGAAGGGCGUCGGUGCCGUCGCAAACGC